UUCGGGUUUAGUGGCGCACGGGUGCGUUAACGCGUGCCGAAUCUGCCCCUUGGUUCGGAAUAACAGUUGGAAACGACUGCUAAUACCGGAUGAUGACGUAAGUCCAAAGAUUUAUCGCCGAGGGAUGAGCCCGCGUAGGAUUAGGUAGUUGGUGUGGUAAAGGCGCACCAAGCCGACGAUCCUUAGCUGGUCUGAGAGGAUGAUCAGCCACACUGGGACUGAGACACGGCCCAGACUCCUACGGGAGGCAGCAGUGGGGAAUAUUGGACAAUGGGCGAAAGCCUGAUCCAGCAAUGCCGCGUGAGUGAUGAAGGCCUUAGGGUUGUAAAGCUCUUUUACCCGGGAUGAUAAUGACAGUACCGGGAGAAUAAGCUCCGGCUAACUCCGUGCCAGCAGCCGCGGUAAUACGGAGGGAGCUAGCGUUAUUCGGAAUUACUGGGCGUAAAGCGCACGUAGGCGGCUUUGUAAGUAAGAGGUGAAAGCCCAGAGCUCAACUCUGGAAUUGCCUUUUAGACUGCAUCGCUUGAAUCAUGGAGAGGUCAGUGGAAUUCCGAGUGUAGAGGUGAAAUUCGUAGAUAUUCGGAAGAACACCAGUGGCGAAGGCGGCUGACUGGACAUGUAUUGACGCUGAGGUGCGAAAGCGUG
This 645-nucleotide ribosomal RNA is filed under the name Sphingomonas sp. Air194. RNAcentral describes it as "bacterial SSU rRNA". It matches the Rfam family "Bacterial small subunit ribosomal RNA", at positions 85 to 763 of the family's 1533-position model. The record is from RNAcentral. Lineage: Bacteria; Pseudomonadati; Pseudomonadota; Alphaproteobacteria; Sphingomonadales; Sphingomonadaceae.